UCCAAUACUCUGGCUUGAGUUAUUAUAAUGUUAGCUUUUUUCAUGUUGGGUUAGCUGAAUUAUUGUACAAAAAAACAACUAAAGAGGCAGCAAAGAUUGAAUGAGAAUUGAAAGAUUAAACGUGAAAUAAUUGGACUAGAGGAUUGGGAUUUUACCGUGAUUCUCUUCCAAAAUUAAUAGCUUUUUCUAUCACGCACGGUAACUUUAAAUUGUCAUAUUUUAUUAAUUAAUAAUUACUGCUAGAAUUUUGUAAAAUUUCCUUAAUCUAGCAUAAUUAUGUAGGCUUUGAUGCAUGUUCGAUGCUUUAUUUUAUUUAAUAUAAGUGGUAGAAGAAAGUUUGGUCGAAAUUUUGAGAAAUUUUUGUAUAAAGAUUUGGUUCAAUUAUAUUAUUCUAAUAUCUCGAUUAGCACGUUAUUAUCAGUUAUAUGAAUAUGUAUGUUUCGGACAAUUAGGCUUUGAGGAGUUUUUUACUUUACGAAAUUUUUGUAUCAAAAUUAGGUUUAAUCGCAUUGAUAUCUCGAUUAUUAUAGUAUUUUAUUGUAAUUUCUACUCUAUUGUUGCCUUCAAUUUACCUAUAGUUCCAUAUGUGUAGCUUUUCUUUCAUUCCCUCUAUAUCUUAAUUUCAAGAAAAGUAAAAAUUAAUUUUAUUUGAUUUUGUAGGAAUAAAUUGCUCUUUCUCAUGACAUCCACAACUAGCUCGAAACUCAUUGUAAGCUUCUAAGCUUCAGAUUUCAAAGAUAUAUUGAUUUCUCUUUCUUCUAUUCUUUUCACUUGAAUUCUUUGACUCUCUAUAUCCCUUAGGUUUCCAAUUUCAGGUCUUUGUUUAGUAUCUUUCAUUAUAACUAAUUGUUGUAACUAAUGAUUUGUACGAAGUUUUAGUCACGUGUUAGUCUUUUUUCAAAAAAAAAAAUUAGGAUUCAUUGGGCUUACCUCUAAAAUGACUCAAAUUAAUAUGCUAUUGAAAUUUUGCCCUAUGAUAUGCUCCAUGUGUUAAACAUACAGUGUUCAAGGAGCUUAGAUAUAUUGUAAAAUAGACCAUAAUAUUAAGAAGUACCAAGUACGUAUUUAUGUUAUUAGAUGCUAUGUUAAGUUGUAUAAAUUUAAUUUUUCAGAUGCUUAAAAAAAAAAAAAAGAAGUACCCUUCUAAGCAUGUUUCGUAACGAGAGUGUUGGGCCCGUGCAAAAAGUUUUUUUCUUAUUUUGGAUUUGGUGUGAAUUGAACUUAUUGUGUUACUCUGUGAAUCUGCAAAAUGGUCGUUAUUAUAUAAAGGUUGUCGAAGCGACGGCAUUGAAGGACUGAGAGUGCUUGUUGGUCGUCAUUGAUGGAUUUGUCUUUGAGAACCAUUUAGAUUUAUAAAAGUCAAUUCAGGUUUAGAAAAAAUUUGUAGUUCAAGUUUUUUUUUUUUUUUUUUUUAAAAAAAUUCUACCUAUCUUUUUCAUCGUAGUUUUUUUAGGGGGUAGGGGGUGGAUUUCUUCAGUGCUUUUUGGGUUAUAAUAGAGGAAUCCUCAAAACAAAUAAUAAGGAGUUCAUAAUCAAUUUCUUUUUUAUUUAUGAUUCCUGCUUUUUUUUUAUACUAUCUAGCUUUUAUGUGCAAUUUAGUUCUAAUAUUAUUGCUGUAGUAUUUUUAUUUCAAGAAAUUUAUGAUUUUUUAUAUAUAUAUGAAUUAGAAAUGAGGUUAUGAAAAUUAAAUAUUACGAUAGAAAAUUGAUAGAUAAUUGAGCUUUGAUUCUAGAAGCACCAUAUCUGGUCGUGGUCGCUUCUUUUACAAAUAUUCUCUUAUAGAAUUUAAUUAAAUUUGUAACAUUUUCUUGCUCUCAUUAAUUUACAUGUACAAUAAACUUUGAGGAUAUAAUUUGCUAUCCUAGGACUUUAGUUUUAUGUUUGGCCACAAUGUAGUGUUUAGAGAAUGGAGAUUCCUAGGACUCUAUCUAAGUUUUAUGUGAUGCAACUCAGAGAUCAUAAUUAUUGGGGAUGGAAGUAGGAUUGGCAUUAAAAAAAGUUCCUUGAGGAGAAGGCUAUGUAAUAUGCUAUACUGCUAUGUUGAUGAGCUAAGGAAAGGUUUUGCUAAAGGAAGGCUUCUUUCCAUAGAUUAGCUAAUUGACAUGUUGUUGUGUUCACUAUUGUAUUUGCUUUUUGUAACAUUUUCUUAACACAGGCCAUUCAACAUUGAUAUCUUAAUUAUAGUGAUUUUUUUGGAGCAUAACAAGGAAUAGGUUUAUUAUUUGAGAUUCUCAUAAAUUCGUCAUCACAUUAUUGUUAGGUUUUUCAAGCACAGUAAUUUUUUCAGUUUCAUUCAUCAGCUUAAAACAUAUGUAGGUAUCUUUUUACUUCUAACUCAUAUCUAAUUUUUGCAUCACUUUCUUGAUUUUGAAUAUAUUCUAUGUGUUAGCUUCAAUUUUUAAUUAGUUAGCGUUUAUAAAUAUUUCAAUUUAGAACUUUAUUAUAUAUACAUUAUAUUAAUGAUGAUGAAAGGGAGCCUUGAAGUAACUAGUAAAGUUGCUUCCAUGUGAUCAGGACGUCACGGGUUCAAGCCUUGAAAACAGCCUCUGGCAGAAAUGCAAGAUAAGACUGCGUACAAUACACCCUUGUGGUGGGGCCUUCCCCGGACCCUGCGCAUAGCAGGAGCUUUAGUGCAUCGGGUUGCUCUUUUUAUAUUAAUGGUGAUGUCUAGAUGGUGAUCAAUUUUGUGGGAAGUCUGAAUAGCUCAUUUGUGUUUCAAGAAGAUGUGUCUUGCUGAAUUGAGAUCUUUUGUAUAGAUCUUAGA
RNAcentral lists this long non-coding RNA (2764 nucleotides) under Capsicum annuum. RNAcentral's name for it is "long non-coding RNA (CANN_LNC012878)". The record is from RNAcentral. Lineage: Eukaryota; Viridiplantae; Streptophyta; Magnoliopsida; Solanales; Solanaceae.